This 316-nucleotide ribosomal RNA is filed under the name uncultured bacterium. RNAcentral describes it as "partial 16S ribosomal RNA". It matches the Rfam family "Bacterial small subunit ribosomal RNA", at positions 355 to 663 of the family's 1533-position model. The record is from RNAcentral.
UAGGGAAUCUUCCACAAUGGACGCAAGUCUGAUGGAGCAACGCCGCGUGAGUGAAGAAGGUUUUCGGACCGUAAAGCUCUGUUGUUGGUGAAGAAGGAUAGAGGUAGUAACUGGCCUUUAUUUGACGGUAAUCAACCAGAAAGUCACGGCUAACUACGUGCCAGCAGCCGCGGUAAUACGUAGGUGGCAAGCGUUGUCCGGAUUUAUUGGGCGUAAAGCGGGCGCAGGCGGAAGAAUAAGUCUGAUGUGAAAGCCCUCGGCUUAACCGAGGAAUUGCAUCGGAAACUGUUUUUCUUGAGUGCAGAAGAGGGAGAGU